AAUAACUGCUGUUAAAAGUCCUUAUCUUACCUAUGACAGUACUGCUCUAUACUUAGAACAGGAAAUAACUGUAGUAUCUUAAGUAACAUUUUAUGGUAAGCAUGAGUAAAUUACAACUUUGUUAGUACUAAAGGUAAUCUGUAACAUACAACUUUUGGGGGAUUUUUUUCUCUUUUGAAAAUACCUUUAUAAUAUCAUUGCAGUAUUAUGCUUAAUUUGGUGGGUUAAAUCUGGGUCUUGCUUGGGUCAUUGCUGCAGCCCUGUUGACUGCAAUGUGGUCAUUUAUCAAACUUUCUUGCAAUUUUCAUGUUUAACUGGAUGGGGAUAUGGGUACAGUUGACCAAAGUCUGUGCCAACUCAGACCCUUGCAACACUUCCACAAUGAAUAGCUCUUGCAAGGACGGAUGCAGAGAGAUUUGAAAUCAAUGUACUUCCUGUUAAAUGCAGAGGUUACGUUGUUUGUAGCAGUAAUUCCUGGUCUGUAGAGACAGUACCUUCACCUCGAGUUUCACACAUGCGAGCAGAUCUCUUUCAGACCUGUUUUGGGCUUAUGUUCUUGUCAGCUUUGUAGACUUUUCUUAUUUGAUAGAUUAUCCAAUGAGAACUUUUAAUUGAAACACACUUAAUAAAACUGCAUCUUCAGGAUUUUAUAUUUAAGACUUAUGGUUUGAUCUUGUUCUUGAAUUUCCUAUGAAAUUCCUCUCUUUGAAAUCAGCUCAUUUUAUCAAGCAGUCAUCAGCUUUAUAAUCUUUUCUGAGACUAUAUAUAUGACUACUCUCUUCUACUUUCUUUCCAUCCCCCCUCCGCCCCCACUGAAAUACUCUAACUUAGGCUAACAGGAAGAAAUAACCACACCCUCGCAUAUACAAAAACCAAAAUUGCAUGUCUGCUUCUCACUUGCUAUAUGUAACUGCAGUUGUAUUCAUGCAGUGUUAAGUGAGCUCUCUUUCAGGUCCAUUGUGGUCAUUAAAAUUCAAAGUGAGGUCUUUGUGAUGCAUCUUCCAUAAAAUGGUUGGUUUUUUAUUUCUUGUGUGUGAAAAAUGUCUGCCCAACUGUGCCCUGUGAUCACCUCUCUUAAGUAAUUUAGAGACAAAGAACAGUCCAAUCACAUGUGGAAAUACUGUCUGGCUAUCUUAAUUUUUUCAGGCCAUUUGACUUUCAGGAGAAAGUGAGAAGGAAUAUCUUACUUAAAAAAAAACAACUGCAGAGAAAGUUUGCACUGACCGUUGUGACACCGUCGUACUGCACUGCAGUCUUUGCAUUGCAGCAUUGUUUCUAACCAGUUAAAGGCCGUGUCGUCGUGUCCCACAGCUGUGGAUGCAUGAACACAUUCAUCUGCUUUCAUAGUUCUUCUGGGGACAGUCACUGUUGCUUUGUUCUCUGCCUGAGUAUAUUGGUUUGUUUAAGGAACGAUAAACCAAAAACAAAGAGGAGGGGGAGAGUGUUGGUCAGUGUGUGUAAGCAGUCAUAGACAAAUAGGUAGUGGGUACAGUACUUCUGAAACGGCCUUCUCUGUUCACAUGGUGUGGUUGCUACGGUACUUCUUUACAUUGACCCUUAUUUUGGUACCUCUAAUAUUAAACACAAAAGUUUUUUGAAGUCCAUAUUACAUUUAUGCCCGUCUUUAACACGAAAUAGAAAGGCUGCUUAGUGGAACAGUCCACAAAUUGGUUUUGGUGUCUUCUGCCAUGAUCUGAUCCUUAGUCGGCUUUCACAAGUUGUCCACAUGGUGCUUCAGUAUUUUGCUAAAUUAAGACAGUUCUCGUGGUAAUGCUGUGUUAUCUCCCUGAGGAUCACUUCAUUUGAUUGGUGUGGAUGGGUAGGCACUGCUUUCUGCCCUAUACACACAGCACCGAGUACUACAGGCAGCUUUCUCAUGCCAUGCUCUCUCUAUGGAUCAUCUGCUGUGGUGAGCUGUCGGCCCUAGAUGAUGUUAUAACCAGCUGCUGAAUGCUUUAAGCACUUCCAGCUGCUGCAGAAGUCCUUCCUAUCACUCUGCAGAUCUGCUUCAGUACUCAGCAGCAGGAGUGCAGAUGUCAGCCUGCUCAUGCAUACUCCCCCCACCUGCUACUGCUUUGUAUGUUAAUCAUCCAGCCUUCAUCUCAGGAAUAUCAUGAGAAUUUAUUAUUCUUGUGACUGUUCCAAACUGUGUUUUCUUCAUUCACCUUUUAUUCUGUAUAAGGCAGUUCUAUUUUUUUAAAGUCAUGUUUUGUCAUAGAGAAUCCAGAAUAUUGCAGUUGGAUACUUUUUCAUUCCAAGAAAGAAGGACAUUUCAGAAUCUUUCACCCAUCAGUGUUUUCUUGCUUUUUAUGUAUUUUUCCAGUUAACUUCAGAUCUCUUGCUGUAGCUGUCACGCUGUUGUUAUGCACGCAUGUAGCUAAACAAAAGACCCUUUGCUUACAGCCCCCACUUUCUAGAGUGGCAGAUUGUUCCUCCUGUUGCUAGCACCUCUGUGGAGCGAGCCUCUUUUCUUGCAAGUUACUCUACCAGCUCUGCCCAGGCCCUCACGCGAGGUCCAGCAGACCUUGCACCAUCCUUAGAGGAGUAUUUCUUUAGAUCUUGCAGCUACGUUCUUGUGCAGGGGUUAGUUAUCAUCCUUGUGAGAAACCCUAGUAUUGUGCAAGUGACAUGCCUGAACUGCCAGGACUGCUUAGAAAAAAGGAGUGGAACAAUGGAUUAUUAUUUUUUUUUUCGGUACUUUCUCUGCAACAGCAAGUGGAACUGAUUGAGCUUGAGCAGAAAAUAAUUACAUAGUAACUGCCUUUUAUAAAAGGGUUACAGGGGUGUUGCCAUUGUCUUUCUGAGAAGCAAAGGCUUUAGGAUUCUUUUUCCAACCCAGUUCCCCAGUUCAUCCCACUGUUGUUUAUGCUGCUUCACUACGUAUUUGUGACUUCAGCUUGUAAAGAUGUAAGAUGCUUCUUAAUGCUCUUUCCUGAAUUCUUCUAAAACAGUAUCUUUUUUCUGCUGGACCAUUAUAUAUGUCAUUUUUUAUGGACAGUUUUAUGAAAAUGCUAGAAUCUUCCAACAGCGUAUUUGCAGUGAAUGCAAGAUUAGGGUGCUAAAUGACUUGCAUGAAGGUGACUUGUUCUGUAUGGUGUGACAACGCUGUUUUUAACACUUUGCACACCCUACCAGCUUUCCUCAUAAAAUGAGAGGACAAAGGCUGUAGAUCUGAGCAACCUACGCCUGUAGGUUUGGACAGAUUUGUCAGCUAACAUACAGAGAGUUACCAGUUCCAGCAGAUGAACUGAAUUCCAAAGAAGUGUUGCUGCAGAGGUGUGAGGGAGUGGCGAGUUUGAUGUUCAGUAUUGCAGUUGUUGCCACAGAACAUUUUAAUGCUGUUGUGGAAAGUUUUGUGAUCUUGUCAAUAUUUUACAUGUAUGUCUGUAGUUUUAUUACGUGGUAAUGGAAAAGGGUCUGGGGUCUGGGAAUCUUUUUUAAAUUAAGAAUGAAGGCCCUGAUUCUCCUUUAUACUGCUGUCCUUUGCACCAUGUUAGAAGGACAGAGAGGCUGUAAACGGAUGCCCACUGAGCUUACAUCCUUUGGAGUACCCCAUUAUACCGAUCAUGGUUAAAAGGUCAUUAGUAUGAAUUGAAACUGUUACCCACAGAUGUGUACAGCUGUGGGAAAUCGAUGUCAUGAUAGCCCUAUUUUGUGCAUACUGGCCAGUAACAUCCAUAUUGUUCUCAGCUUAGAAAUACAGGUUAAAAAGAAAUUUCUCUGGCCUGUUUUGUAAUGAAUACUUAAAAAUUUGUUUAUAUUGGCUGUGCAUUUCCCUGCCUUGUCUACAAAGAGAAUGUGGUAGAAGAUUUGUACCUCAAAAUAAUGACCUGGCCAGAAAUGUCACAGAAUUGUCAACAAGACUAUUUCUAAGCUUAGGUAGUUUUUCUUAAAAUGCUUUCUUGCUUUUAUUGUUAUUUGAACCUUUUACACAAUUACAUAAAAUGGGGUUGUGAGAGUGUACCGCACUCCAUGCCUUUCUGACUUCGUCCCCAGCAGGGUGUGUGGUGCUGUGUGACGUUGCCACGCUGCGAUAAGUUUUGAGAGACAAAGCUAAAAGCCAGCAGUCUGUGAGUGCCCGCUGUGUGGCACUGAAACUGCUGGCACUGCCCUGCGUGCUUGUGGCAUGCAGAGCUUCCCUUGCUGCCAGUGGCAGCGCCAUCCCCCAUACCAUUGCGAUAGAUGUUUCUCUUUCAGAAAGAUUUGAAGAAAAAAGAUCUCAUAUUUUCAUUUUUUAAUUUCUAAAGUGCAGUGAUACUGCAGAGCCUAACAAAAACAGAGUCCGUGCUAACUUUGUGGAUGCCAGACUGUAAUCCAUGUGACAGAGGAGGCAGUGUCUGAACAUCACGAAUCUCUUGUCCUGUGAACAAAAAACAACUGCAGGCAAAAAAAGCAAAUAUGAUAUCCCAACACCACUGAAACAAAGGCAGUUCUAACCAAUACAAACACUUAGACAUUUUCAACUUCAACAACUCAUCAGUUUAAGACAAUUUGUUCAGUUUAGAAGAGACAGCUCUUCAUAAUGUGACAGUAUUAUACCAGGUCAUAUAUGUUGUUCAAAAUCUGUUAUCAUAAAAACAUUAAUUUUAAGGACACAUUGUACCAAAAUGCUGUGGCCAAUGAAUUCUUUCCCGAUUCAAAAAAUAAAAAACUAAAAGAUUAACAGUAUGCCAAAAAAAAAAAAAAAAAAAAGUCAGUAUUUUCUGUCUUUCCUUCUCUCCUUCUUCCUAUCUCUUUUCCUGUUUUUCUUUCUCUCUUUCCUUGGGAUGCAUUUGAUAUUUAUUUUUCAACUUUGAGGUUUUGGAUUAUUUCAUUUAACAACCUACUGUAUUUAGAUCUGAAACAUAACUUUCACAAAGCAAAAGAUGAUGAUGUACAGGGAGAAAAAAAUCAGAAAGAAAAAGCACUUCAUUAUGUCAACGUAUCUACAGGAAAAAGUGUAAAAAAUCGCUUCUUUUCUCAAAAAAAUAUCUGGGGCCUGAUUCUUUCCUAGUAUAACUGAGCAUAGCUUCAUGAGAGUGGUGGAGCUCUGAAGAGUUACACUAGCUGAGAAACUGAACCUUACAAUCUUUGCAGACAAGGGAACCCUAACCAGCAGUACUUGAAGACUUGUGAGUUGUGACUGCAUGUUACUUGAAAGAUCUAAUUAAGCUAUGUUUUUUGGUGCAAGCAGUUGUUGUACAUGAUUUCAUGUUUAUGUAGCAAGAUGCAUUGAAAUGUUGAUACUAGUAUUGAAACAUACAUGUAAAAAUUGUUGUUGUGGAAAUUGUCUGUUCUGUUCUAUUUUUCUUGUGUGUCUCAUCUGUUUAGAACGUAAACUUUCAUUUUUUUAUUGUCCUAACUGAAUAAGGCUAAAUGAAUACUGUAAUUGAAAAUAUAUUUUAAAUCUUGUCAUGAGUUUUUAAAAAGACUAUUACAAAUUGUAUCAUUCCUGAUUACACAGAACUUUGUGGGUGGUUUUAAAUAAAUUUUAUACUUCUAUUUUGCACUUAGUCGUCUAAUUUUUCUUUCCUGAAGUGUGAAACUUGAACAUUCUUGUAAAAUGCUUUAAGAGGGGGGAAAAAAGUUGUUUUCCCAAUACAAAACAGAAUGAAAUCAUACUGAAGUAACUAAAGAUUGAAAACUUCUACCAUACAACUUGGAGCAAAGUUAACGCCCUUCUUCAUAAUACAGAAUAUAAUGUUAUACGCUUAUUUGUGUGUAUAUAUAAAUACCCAAAUGUAUUUAUGCAUAUAUAAUGUAUAAGUUAUUAUUUACCAUUUAAAACACGUAUAUCGCUCA
This is a long non-coding RNA of Gallus gallus (chicken), 5781 nucleotides long. The record is from Ensembl. Lineage: Eukaryota; Metazoa; Chordata; Aves; Galliformes; Phasianidae.